This 17162-nucleotide long non-coding RNA is filed under the name Volvox carteri. RNAcentral's name for it is "long non-coding RNA (VCAR_LNC002887)". Lineage: Eukaryota; Viridiplantae; Chlorophyta; Chlorophyceae; Chlamydomonadales; Volvocaceae. The record is from RNAcentral.
CAGGUGCGCCAACUCUGAUUCCUCAGAUGAAGCACGUUGGCGCGAAAGGUUGGCGCGCAAAGGCGCGCGGAAAAGGGAACCAUAUUCAGCCAGCCGCCUGGUCAGGCCACCGCGUGUCAUCAGCUAUGGUUAGUCGAGGUGUCGCCUGAUGCGGUGGCACAAGUGGUUGACAGCUACACCAACAUACCACACCACAAUGGCAGGCGGCUGGCAGAGGUUAAGGCCUGACUUCUGCUCCCAGUCGACCCAGUCGACCCGGGUUCAAAUCCGCCUGCCGGCUCCUCGGGGGUUUGAGGAGUGAUGAAAUGGGCGAGGGGGUUUGAGGAGUGAUGAAAUGGGCGAGCUGACCAGGAACUAAGUUGAUGCGCCGUUGAUCCGCUAGAUUUGGUUGGAUGCUGGUGGUGAGUUGCUGAACCCAACGAAUACAUUCUGAAGUCGGAUGGGGUGACGGAUUAGGGUGCCCCUCUAGCAGGGGAGAGCAGGGACUGCCCCGGGAAAGGGGGCCGCUGGCGAAGUUAACCACCCUGUAACAACAUACAUAUUGCAAGCCCAGACCGUGCUGACACUCCUAAGCCUGUCAGCUGGACCAGCUCGACACUUUGCCCCCAUUUCCGACGCAAAGGCUCUUUAGGUCAUUAAGCCCCAAAGAUCAAAUCACCUUUUAGAUUCCCUUUUUGAGAUAUAGGGGUCCCCUGUAAAUGGUCUGCUGCAAAAAAGCAACACGUGCCCUGUAAAACAACAGUGACCUGCCCUACCAGCCGCAGACCUUCUGUAUACCUGUAGACUGUAGACCUGUUGUACAAUGCAGCACGCACACACACACACACACACACACACAUCAGUAGGGGUGCAGCAGUGCGUGUGGGACGUGGUCAGCCUCGCAGCACUGCCCGCCAGAAGGAACAUGCACGGGUGGGACCGCGGGCGGCAACCCCCGCAAUCCACACCCCGCACCCGAGGCCCCAGCAGCUCCGGGGCUGGAGGCGGUGCUCGGCUUCUGGCAGCAGGUUUAGGACUUUGCAGAACUCGGCGUGCCCCAGCACGGCUGGCACAGCGUGGGCCCCGACCAUUCCAUCCUAUCAGUGGUGGACGGGCGCCUGCGUUGAGUACAGCCAGUAGGGCUGGGAGAGGAAGGGGCAGGGGGAUAAAAAGGGAUGCUAGGAGGAACCCGGUAGAUGGGCUAUCCCGCUGGUGGGGGGGGAUAGGCCUGAGGGUUUCUCUUUGUUGGUCUGGGUCGGGGGCUUUUCGAGGGAGAAGGCUCGCCUCGCCACAGGUUGGGCCAGGCAGCUUCAGUGAGAGGUUUUUUGAGAGGUCGUUGCUGUAGGGCUUGGGAGGAGUGGCAGGCGAACGGGGUGGCUGUAGCGCAGGCUGGGUGACGCUGUGUGAGCUGUGCCUCGAGUGGUGUGGUGCUGCCUCGAGGUGAGCGGCCGUUGUAUCCGAUAUAGUACAGAGAUACAGUCACACCGUUAAUAUGAGUUCCUUGAAUAUUCCGUUCUCACGUGCUUUGGAAAUUUUGAUGUGAAUUUGAAGUUCAACGCACAAAUUAAGGUGAAGGUUGUGCCGAGAGUUGCUUACGCGCCGUUGGGAUCCAAGUCGACGACCGUUGAGCAGUAGCCGCGCAUAGCCAGCUGCGAUAACGAUUGUAAAUUAAUAUUCAACGCUCAUGGAAAUGGCAGCAUCUGUCACUAUUUUAUUAUACGAAACAUGUUCUUUAUUGGCUCGAUCACGGUGGUUCGGUAGUAAAGGAGUUUCAGGUUUGGAAAAUCCUGAAACCCGCUUAUUACGGGUUAAGAAUGCACGUUUAGGGAACAUAUGUUUGAUUAUUUUAAGAUAAAAAAAAUGCUUGAUUUUAUCUGCAUCAAGCGUUUGUGACCAAAGCCCACCAUUGGUGGUCGGGCACCGAUUUACACCGACCGAGUACGUCUCUGAAACCUGCUCGUCGGGCCUUACAACUUGCGGUACAUUUAAGUAUAGCACUUCCUAGAAAAAAUCAGAAAGUAUUUACUGAAUAAAACUUGUUGGACCGGCUCGCGUCGCCUCCACGGUAAGUCGGUCUAUUGCUCUCAGCUCUUCCUCCGGUACUGCUUUCCUUAAGCAGGAGGCUGGAACUAUAGCGAGGAGGCGCGCCACAUGCCUUGCAACUCUAAAAAUGUUUUUUCAUGUACUAUUUUGCGAAAAUGGCCACCUGAGUAAAAAAUCUGAUUUCAAUGCCCCUGUAGAGCCUCCUCUGGCUAGGAGCCGCUUGGAGCGUCUCGGGAGUCCACCGACUCGCGAGUUUCAACAGUGAAAGCCAAAGCUUCAGUAUCGCCACCUUCAUCGUUAUCGUUGUCGUCAUCAUCUUCAUGGUCAUGUUACCAAUGACGCUGGCAGUCCACGUCGCCCGAAAGGAACGCGCGCUUCUGUCACCGUCGAACAACCUGCACCGCCAACAGCUGCCGCUAUUCUCCUGCCUCGCAACCGUGGCAAUGCUCCGCCUGAUCCCCUACCUACUGCUGCUGUUGCUGGCGCUGCCCGGUGGCACCCUCGCACAGACUGUCCCGGGCUGCGGCUCAAGCGCCUUCAUCUAUCGCAACGGGGUCCCUGCAAAUUCGAUCGACGUGAUGUUCCGAGAUUCCCAGACAGGGGAAUCUGUUGGUUGGGGUUAUAUUGCUAUGAACUUAAGCGCAUUGACUCUACCAGAGCCCAUCGCGACCGACCAAACGGUACCCGGAACUAUAAAUAUCGCAGUGAAACUGGGGGCCUUUGUCGGAAGCAUUCAGGGCAGCGUUCAAACCGAGUCCAUGUUUCAGUCUAAUUACCCCGGCGGCGGCGCUAGUUGUUCUGGUGACUCUAAUUCCUAUAUUUCAUUCCCCAUGGACAUGCCGCAAAAUGUGGUAUUCGCCUCGACGAUGGACUACAAUGGACUCCUCACCGGCAUUCUGACAAAUCCGAUCCUCGGAAUCCCGCAAUGUCAGCCAAUUGUACUCUACCUCCUUGCGAAGUUCACAGACAAAAAUAAUUCGUCUCGUUCCGCCUACCUGGCCACGGACUGGGUGUCAGCAGGCAAUGCCUCUGACCCGGUGUGCGCCAACUCACCUACGUCCUGGGGCUAUAUUAAGGCGGAGUUUGGCGUCUGCAACUGCCCGCCAUCCCCACCACUCCUACCACCAUCACCCAACCCCCCAAUGCCGCCCUCACCUUCGCCACCUUCACCAAGCCCUCCAUCACCCUUGCCACCUAGGCCGCCAUUCCCAUUACCACCACCACCUCCACCACCACCGCCACCAAGAGUGUCACCAUCACCACCACCGUCCCCCUCCCCGCCACCACCUUUGCCGCCACCCUCUCCACCUCCACAACCCCCGCCUUCGGUCCCCUCCCCCCCUCCCCCUCCGCCAUCCCCGGCACCCCCGCUGCCUCCCCCCCCAUCCCCUCCUCCUUCACCACCUCCUUCACCUUUACCCCCACCUCCCUUACCGCCGUCCCCACCACCACCUUCUCCACCACCGCCACCCCUGCCACCCCCGCCUCCCCCCCCAUCCCCUCCUCCUCAGCCGCCCCCUCCUCGCCCACUCAGUCCCCCUCCCCUGCCACCCUCGCCAUCCCCUCCCCCCCCACUUUCCCCUUCUCCACCACCACCACCCCGCCCGCCCCCACCGGCACCUAAGGCUCCUAGGUCUCCCCGAGCCCCCAAACCCCCCAAAGUCCCCAAGGCACCCCAGCCUCCACCUCGACCCGCAAACAACCUGCUCGUCAACAAGUUCCCCUUCUCGUCCUGCAGCGCUAGUGACGUCAGCCUCACACCGUACCGGAUGACGUCACCCAUGGGGCCGUUCAACGUAACCGCCACCGCCGCCACCUACUGCUUCCGGAUCUCCGCCUCAGCAACAGUGGACAGCACCAGCCCAUGUGCGAGAAUGGUCAUCAAUGAGCUUCAAAUCGUCAUCGGUGAGUAGCUAUAUGCUACCUAGCUACCUAGCUACUUAGCUACCCAAGCUACCUAGCUGGUCGUGAUCAUCGUGGUGACCUCCAUGCACCUCAUCAGUUGUGCGCUCAACAUGCAUGUAUGUGUGUGGUGUGUGUAGGGGUCCCUCACUCCGCACACCGCCUUCAUCCGCUCACGGCUCACCCAGCUGCAGGGAGCUUUAUUUCCCCUCCAAUAUUAAUCAAGAUAAUCAACACCGACUCCGCCCUGUUUCCCCCCCGACCCCAAACACCCUCCCCGGCCUACAUGGUUCACCGCAGACCCCAGCUGCGUGGAGUCCUUCCCCAACUCCUUCAGGGUCACCACCGUCAACAGUGUGACGGUGUCCCCCGUCUACAGCUACAGGACAUGGCGGGAGCAGACGUACGGUGUGAUGACGAUCACGUCCCUGGCGAGUACCUUCCCCGUAACCCCCGCUGGCGGCCUGUAUGUAUGUCUGGCCAUGAGUCGAAACAGCAGGUGUGGCACUCCGGCGGGGCUGUGCUACGGAAACAGCUGCGCGUACUCGCUGCUCAAUGCGGACAACAGCUGCUGCCCCGCCAGCCAGGUGCCGUACUAAUAGGUGGAAGGUUCCUGCAGUAUUGACGACUAUGCGAAGCAUGGCAUAAGUAGCCCUUGAUGCAGAGAUGGCUUGGCCGGAGAGGAUAGGCUAAGUUAAGUACCAAUGAUACAAAAUAUAGGCGUAUUAUCCCCAUGACUUGUCAUGUUGAUGUGUUCAUAUCACAUGUGUAUUAUCAAAGCCAUUGUUAAGGAUGAGGAUUAUGUUGUCGCAAGGGGUACGAGUUCGAAUGUCACGAACUUCGAAAAGCUCCGAAAAUAGAGAUCAUCACGAAAAAAUUUGUCCACAACUUCUUGCACGAGGUUCCUUCUUGCACGAGGUUCCUAGGUCGGCGCCGAUUUGCCCCUGGCCCUGUGCUGCCACGAUUAAAUUCACUGGCAUAGAUGUAUGUGCGCCACGUCAGGGUGCUUGAUGGCGGGUUGGUUGGAUAUCCAACCACAUAUGGCAGUGGACGGUUUUAGGCGAAGACUCGCAGCCCGGAUAGGGGCCGCAGGGUUCUUCAUAUACCUGCGAGAAAAUAACGUGUGAUAACCAAUAGCGCAGCCUACCGAGCCCCCACCCUCCCAACCCCUUCAUCAUCGGUCCCCUCCAAUCACGACGGGAUCCAUGUCCUGGAGUGAUAAACCUUUUAACAUGUUUUUUCAACAUGUUUUUCAAUGUUGCUUCGUCUCAUGAUGGUUUCCGUCCCGGUUCUAAGGCACGUGUGUGAGCAUGUGUGUGUGUGUGUGCACCAAGCUUAUUACCGCCAUCAUCACACUGCAUCACGCCGCCGUGGCAACGUGUGCAAUCGCCUCAAAAGUAUCUACGACCUGUAACAGCGGUUUGCGCUGCUCGGGGUCCCGCCACCCGGACGGAAACCAUCAUGAGACGAAGCAACAUUGAAAAACAUGUUGAAAAACAUGUUAAAAGGUUUAUCACUCCAGGACAUGGACCCCGUCGUGAUUGAGGGGACCGAUGAUGAAGGGGUCGGGAGGGUGGGGGCUCGGUAGGCACGUAAUAUCAUAAUAUCAUAAUAAUAUCAUAAUAUUUCAUUAGAACCGUUGCUAGUGUUUCAACUCUUGCUCUGGUUUGAUGGCGAAUGUAAUUAUCAUCCUCAUAGUCUGUAAUUACGUGAGCUUAUCUUCAGCAGCAGAAGAGUCCCUCGCUGAGUGAAGCUCUACCAACUGGCCGAUUACGCGGGACAGUUGAUGUAUGAUCGUCGUACAGGCAAUGAGGAUCGCUUAGCAGAUACCAAGUGGAAGAGGAUAGAGUCCACACCAAAUGGGAUGCCAAAUCGUUACACGAUUGGGAAGAGCGAAUUAAUAAGCCAUCUUAAGCAUACAACAGUUGCGCAGCACGUUAAGCGCUAAUUAUAGUUUAAUUAUAGUUUAAUAUGCUAUGAAAUGCGCGAAUUCUUCCUAUUCUAAAAGCUCAAACUUGGUGGGACAAAUUUGCUACGUGGUGGCCACCAGGUACAAUCUCGGAUUAACACUUUUGACGAUGCCUAAAAAAAGCCUGAUUGAUAGGUUGGAAGGUUAUCCUUUAUAAAGGCUGUAGGUGUUCCCAGUUUUGUGGAAGCUUUGUGCUUCUUGUUCGGCAUUAUGCACCACACCGUGGGUGCCGCUCAAAGGUGCUGCAAGCCUUGCAAGCCUUUCCAGGUUGCAGAAGUAAUGAUGCAUAGCAGCAAUGAACCGGAACCACCAAACGCAACCUGUUUCCUGGCCCAUCGCGAUUGUAUCCAUAUGAGGAACAUUGAUGUUUGGCCCGCUCGCUGUUGACAACCGGAAUGGCGUCAUUGUCGUCGGCUGGCUGCAGCAUUGCAUCCACAUUGCCUACGACCCCUACACCGUCUUCAUUAACGUCGCUAAUGGCUUCAGUGAAAUUUAGUAUCUGCUUUAAUGGCCUUCAAUGCUUUGGGAGCUUCGGGUCCGAAUGUUUUGCAGCGUUUGGUCCGGUCAGAAACAGUCCGAUUCCUCGUUGACUUUUGGGCGUGAGCUUCCUAACAGUAUCCAUGGCAUUAAAGUACUAUGAUAUGGGUAACAUGUAUGUCUCCUGUAAGAUUCUAGCGGCUUUGGCAUGGACAGUCCAUUUUUGGCUGGAGGAAAAACGGUUGGAACAUUAUUUAUUCUUAACUUUCAGGACCACGAACAUUUUUUAUUCCGAAUUCGGAAUAUAUUCCGCAAAAAAAUAACGCUGCCUCAUGAUGGCCACUUUCGCCUCGCCUUUCACGUUUCUUCUACACGCUGGCGUUCAUAUUCUUCUCACGGAGUUGAUCUCCUACGUAAAGGCUAUGGAGCACCUGGACCGUUCGGGCGAGCCCUUUUGAGGCAAUAUUUCCGAACUCAAGAUGGGCCCACCCUGCCCGUGUCAGGCAUUCGUCGCGUUUCGCGUUUCGCGUGUGCUGUGGUCCGUUUGGGGCGGAGGUUCGCAUCCGGUUUUGCCCACUUUAGGCAACCCGCACAUUCACCGGCUCAGGAUCAGUGAUUUUUUUUUCAUUUAGGGGGGGUCUCAAUUUAUUCCAACCUAAGUAACAAAGUUGCUAGCGUCACCGUAAUGUAUUCCUUGGGGGCGCUGGGGGACCCCCCAGACCCCCCCCCAUAAUUUACAACUCCCCUCAUAGACAAAGAGGCACGCACUGCGUUGGCGCGUUUUCGUUCAUGUGCGCACUCUUCAUGCACAUGCAUACAUAGUUCUGGCAUUGUUUGUGAACAAAAAGUAAAUCCGACAAAGCAAAGGCCCAAAGCAAGCAACCGCAUAGCAAAUCACAGGCCGUCACCCGCCACUGCAAACCACAGCACACUAGGACUCUACCGGUUCAUCAUGUACCGGCCCCUGCUGCUGCUGUCCAGCCACUCCCUCAGUGCGUCACGGAACGGGAACGUGCCCAGGUCGAACAGGUCCUGGGUAAACAUCCGCACACAUAAUGCUAGGUGCGGGUUGGGCGCCUCGCCGCAUUCGUUGUUGUCGAGCUGAUUGGGUGACAGCUUGCGCUUAUGCUGAUCACAACCGCCAUGGAAGGCAGGGGUAAUGGCGCCCGUGUCAUCGGUCGCCGCUGGCAGCAACACCAUUGCCGAUGCAUUACCGACAACAGCACCGCCGUCCCAAACGUCUUUAUCAGGAAAAAAAUCAGGCUUAUCUUGCUGUUUUGGUGUUUGUUAAGCAGCCUCUCGCACAAAUGUGUCCGGUCGUACUUCGCGAAUAAAAGGUCCGUACAUGACGCCCCAAAAGCCAGGAGCGAAUUUUACCGCGCAGAUGCGCGCGUGCGAUUCUCCAAAUGCGCCUGUACAAGUGUAUAUAAAUUUUCUUGGCGGAAAAGGACCAGGUGCGCCAGCGCAUUGCGCAGGUGGGCAUGUUGGCCAUAGUCGCACCCGGCAUACAGGCUGGACUAUUGCGUGGCUGCUUUGCAGUAUCUGAAAGCACCAAAAGCCUACGUCGUAGCUUGCAACACUGGGCUCGUGAAACUGCCGCAAGAAGAUGAAGCGCUGGCGAAGAGGCAGUUGUGUGCAGCACCUUGUUCAGAGUAAAGUCAAAUUACAAAGUUGCGCAAAGUAUAACAUACAUAAACUGAAUUAAACAUAAGAACAGAUAAGACGUUUAGAGCCUUGUCGGUGACAUGGACGCCGCUGUUGGCUUGGAACAGCUAUUUGCUGUGCAUAGGGACGUGCCCGCGUUAGCCGUGUUGCAACAGCUCAGGAUGGAUUUCAGCCAGCAACCGCCUGAAGAGCUGCUGCACAACCACCGGGAAUGUCUUCAGUUGAGCACGUGUAGUUUUGGUCGGCGGGGUCGAGCAACGUACGCAAUGCGCACAGAAACCAAGGUGCAGCGCCGCUGCUGCAAGGUGCAGCGCCGCUGCGCAAGGUGCAGCGCGCGCUGUUACAGAACGGCGUUCUGUAACAUCGCCAACAUAUCCGGUACGCGGUGGCAGGCUUGCCGAGCACGAAAUGAAGGGGGGGUCGCAUCUCACCAUUUAACUAAGCAUGCAUGUGCUCGGUUGAAUGCUCGGUAGCGUGCGAGUUUACCCCUAUCAGGAUGUUUGUUUGCAUAUCCCUCCAAGCGAGAGGGCUUGGACCUAUGCUGAUGUUCGUUCCAAGAAGUGAACUGAGGACUGAUGCUACGUUGAAAGAUUUGCACGUCAAUUCGCCCGUGCAAUAAAACGCCCUGUAACUCGCUUACCCUAAUCUCACAUUCCAAUAUGCCACUGCACUUUCCUCUCCAGCCUGGGCACAUUCUCUUCCUCGCAAACGUACUUGGGCACCUUACAAUCCAACACCAUACGGGCUUUGGAAACGCGGGCAGCUGCUUCACAAGGACCCCCCUAUUUCGGCGUUCAAGUCGUUGCCUUUUGCGUGUUUGGCUAUGUAAGUACCGGUCAUACAUUCUGCUAUGCCGCGUUGACUCACGGGCUUGACCUUCUUACGGCCCCUCAUAUCUAUUCUAUGAUCGAUAAUACUAAGUUCUGCACACUACGGAGCAAUCUGGCAGCAAUGGACGUUUUUGGCUGGAGGAAUGAAAAUGUACGGAUCGGCCUCAAUUUGUUCCUUAUUUCCAAAGGCCAAAAUGGCCUCUUUAUUCCUUAAAAGGAAUAUAUUACUUAAAAAAACACUGCUCAGGAUAUCCUGAGUUGGGUGCUUUUACCGUGUUUCGUUGGAACAACAGAGGGCAUUUAGCCCAGUGAUUUAAGUGCGCCUUGGCCUAACUAGCUGGACACUUAGUGCAAGCAAUAGGGCCCCUACAGUGUUGCCUGCUCAGGCCUGCGCCUGCUAUAUAUAUGUAUAUAUAUUUUGUAUAUCUACAAUCGGCGGAUGGCCCCCGGAUACAAUCGGCGGAUUUACGUUAUUGCCCGUGGGCCAUCCGCCGAUUGGCAUAAUAAUGAUAUGUAAUAUUACAUUAUUAAUAAUGUAAUUAUUCGCCACGUCAUUAUUAUGCCAUUAUUCGCCUGUUUUAGGUCUUAUCGUCUAUAAAUUUUGCAGUCGUGCAAUAGGUAGGCACCGUCCCUACCUAUUAUUAUACUGUGCUAGGGCGGCGCGGUCUACAUAUAGACGAUUGAAAAUUGCAGACGUUAAGUCCAUAUUCAGGAUUAUUGCCAGAACUGGACUGCGGGUAGACUCCGCCUGUGCUUUCUAGCUGCUGCUGUGUGCCGUCGAAACCGACAUGCACGCGGCUCUGCGCCACGCACCCGCUAACGCUCGCUUGACGGACUAAUGUUUUAGAUCGUAGGCGGGGCCGUUGCUGGUGAUGUUAUGGAUAAGUGAGACUGCAUCUGUGGUGUAGACUGAUGACCUCGACUGACGAUUGGUUGAGUAUUAUUGCGACAAGCCUCGCCUAGUGGCGGCGACUGUUGGCCAGCCAAAACUCACCCGAUGCGGCAGAAGCUGCUGCUGCAUGCGUAUGUCUUCUUGGUAUCUUCAAGAUACCAAACAAGUUGUUCGUUAUGCUUAGCGGGUUGCGGUGUUGCUGAUUGCCUGCUGGUAGGUUCGCCCGCAUAUGACACACACAAUCUGGUCUGGUCUGGGUUGACACUACUGCAAUUAGCGGUUUAAGGUUCUGGGUUCGAUUCCUGGGGAGACCCCCGAAUUAGUCGGGAGCGCGAGAUUAUGGCUAGCUGCUGAGAUGCGGAGUUGAGGUCACAGUUGAUGGACCAGAUUCGCACGCUGGAUUGGUGGCGAUUGCCGAACCCUCCGUCUCUUCGGGUGUUCGGGUGAAUGGAUGAGGAGGGGUCCCCGAAGGCUGGAUCCGCCGCCUUGGACUUACAGUUCGUAUGGCGAAGUACAGUGUGGUAGUGGUGGAUGGUGCUAUAAGGUGAUAAAUGAUCUAGAACUGACAAUGUGAUAAAGCGGCCCAGAAGCUUCCCACUCUGUAACAUUACAUUACAUUACAUUACACACAAUCUUACUGCUUGCCGACUACCCUAUGGCAUAAAAUGGGGGGCAACACUCCCUUAAGGUUUACCCUGCGGGUGGGGGUAGGGGUAAGUGGUUUCCCAUGUGGGUAUGUACGAAGGGAGGUGGGUAAAACCUAACCCCGGGGUCGGGUUAACCCCUUACCGAGGGGUAACAGAGGGGUCGGGGUGAUACGCUACCGGGGGGUGACAGACAGAGUAGCCCACUUUCACGCGUGUGUCUCGACCGAACCCGGAAGCUCCCGGGGGGGGCAUGUGCUGGUGUCAAUGUGUUGUAGGGUGUCCCCCCUGUCUACAUGUGCAUGCACAGCUGUCUCACCCGUCUUUGUGAGCACGUAUGCCUGUCUCGCCUGUCUACACAUGCAAACAUACAUGUCCACCAAUCACUUGUGAGUGCACAAUUGUCGACAUUGCCAAGGCUGCGGUCCGGCCGUCGUGGGAAGAUAAGCGGGAAAGCACGGCAGGGCAGGCGUCAGGAAUGUGUCGUGCCUAGGCCUGCUUGCACUUAGCUGUGCCUACUGCAAGGCCGCUCCAUGUCAACUCACUCGGUCAGUCGCUGCGAGGACAUUAAACUUGCUGGCUUCACUUUGCGAGUUCAUCGGCUUAAAGAUGUCGAAGAAGGCCUCAGGCGCGCAGGCGGCCACAUUCACGGCCGAAGUCUGUGUUCUGUCACUGCAUGCAGUGUCUUGUAGCUGAAGCAGACUGUCCGGAUAAAGUGCUUUCUUUUCUUGCCAGAUUUAUUGCUCAAUGCCCAGUCGGUAUUGUCUUUCAGCACAAUGGCUUUGCGCGUGUGUUGCCAGCAUUAGAGACCUUGAAAUGGCGAACGAUGCUUCCUGAGAUACCAAGACAUGUACAUUUACAAAAAAAAUAUCUUAGGUGGAAUUCACAAGUUGGGCAACAAAUAAGACGAGUAGGCCCAUGUCCAUAUGGAUGCAUGCUAAUAUUAGCAAGGUGGCGGCACCCAAACGCCGGGGAACUCCAAGGUUUCCGUCGGCUUCCAAGUCGUCUAAUGCUGUAUUUGUUUUUUUUAUUGCAGACUGUAUUUUCAGGCCUAUCGAUUAUACCAAAGCACGGUCUAUAGAACAUUUUCUGUACCAUGAACGAAUCUGCAUGCGAUCUAUUUUUUAGUCCUGUCUAUUAUAUGAUGACCCUGUCUAUAGACGAUUAUAAACUUUACAGCAAGUCUGUGCUAGGCUUGCGGCUGAAUACAGCAGUGUUACUUAUUACCUUCCAAGCUUAUUAGCUUCCAUCCGUAGCUUCCAUCUAGUUUCGAAGCUCCCUGCUGCUGGAACGGUUCGUAAAACGGCGGCUGGUAACAUUAUCAUCAUCAUCAGCAGCAGCAGCAAUCAUCGUCGUAGUGCGUGACAGUAACGAAGUACAACACCUUAUCCACACCUUCUAUCUGCAGGGUUGUACAAUCGCUGAACAAAUGUAUGGCGAAUAUUCCCGGCUAUUUCAUUUUGUUCGCAUAAACGAGCGAACGGCAGGAAUUUGUAUAUAGACAAAUAUUUCACACAACAAAAAUGCAGGCGCGGCUUUUUCCCAAGCCAUUUCGGCGGCGAUUGCGAGGUUGUAUACGAGCGCAUUCAGCAGCAGCAGUAUUACGCUAUUUGGCUGUCGCAGCAGUUUCAGCCUAAAGAGUAAACAAGUGCAGUAAGCGCGUUAAGUGUAACGUUCAUUAAUGUGAACCAGCAGCAGGGCGGCUGCAAAUGCGAUAACAAAUGCAACUGCUGCCCGUCGCCGCCGCCGCCGCCGUAAGUCAUCAUCCGCAGAAGGUGUAGCUAGAAGGUGGAACACAUUGCUAGCUGCUGUAGCUGCGACGGAGGUUUUACCAAGCUUCGCUGUUACCACGACUGCUUAGGGUAACGGCACACGGCGGAUGUCUCCCUUCAGGAUGUAAACAGCGGUAGAGGAAUAAUAAUAAAUAUUCACUGGUGAACGGCGGUCCUGAAUGGUCAGCAACAGUGAACGGCUGGAUAAAGGGCCAGUGAACGUUCACCGCCGCCCACUGUUCACUGAACGUUUGGAAUGUCAUGCCUGAAGCCUGCGGGCACCGCCGUGGAAGUGAAGUGAAUGUGGAAGUGCCCAGAAAGUGCCCGGACACAAAGCCAGGAUUGGGCGGUAUGUAACAUGCUUUCAAGUUCACGUUGUACUACUACAUUGUUCACCAUACAUGCCGCUACUGUAGGUCUUUUAGGUUCUCGUUACGGCUACCCGGCAUGCGGCCGCAUGCAUGUUGUUGUUGUUGUUGUUGUUACAUGGUCGUGGGUGCGUUCCCCGUACCUGCAAACCACCCUAGUACGAGCCGAGGGCUCAAGGGCUGCCAAAUCGCCUAUAAGCACCAUCCUACCUCGCACUUCCAACGAAACAAGUAAUGAAGUAUACUAACGACCAAAGGGAACGAUAGAGUUGCGGUGAGACCAUAUACGUUCCAGCAUUCUUGCCAGGCGUUCAGGUUCCCACUUCAUAGCGUCCUUCAUAUGUUCGAAGCGUGGAAAGCCCAUAUCAGAUCUGAUUCCGUCGUAAACCGGACAGUCCAGCAAAAUGUGUUUCUCAUCCUCGAUGUGGCUAUCAGUGCCGCAGCAGGGGCAUACUCGCUCCUCCCUAGGUAUAUAACGCCGUCCCUUACGCGCUCUGUUAGCCGCCAGUGCCCAACAGCAAAGCCUAAACUGCAUAAGCUUGCAAUUCGCCGAACGUGGGAUAAACAUUGUGAUGUGCGGGAGCACCUCCUUCCUGCCCGCUUGCUCGGCCGCCGGCCCCAUCCAAUGCUUAUACUUCGCCAUGUGAUUCCUGGUUGUUUGCCGUCUGACGGAUACACGUCAGGCUGGACAUCUAAACGUGUAUGCUUCCAACCACUCACUAAUCGGUCCUUGACUCCGAAAUCACACCUUCUGGCAUUGGCUUGUUCAUCAGCCACNNNNNNNNNNNNNNNNNNNNNNNNNNNNNNNNNNNNNNNNNNNNNNNNNNNNNNNNNNNNNNNNNNNNNNNNNNNNNNNNNNNNNNNNNNNNNNNNNNNNNNNNNNNNNNNNNNNNNNNNNNNNNNNNNNNNNNNNNNNNNNNNNNNNNNNNNNNNNNNNNNNNNNNNNNNNNNNNNNNNNNNNNNNNNNNNNNNNNNNNNNNNNNNNNNNNNNNNNNNNNNNNNNNNNNNNNNNNNNNNNNNNNNNNNNNNNNNNNNNNNNNNNNNNNNNNNNNNNNNNNNNNCCCCGGUAUUAAUACCGUCGUGCAUAUCGAUGACGUCCGCGAGGGUUUCAAUGUAGAGCCCAAACAGCUCAGUUGAUAGUGGACAGCCUUGUUUCACACCCUGUUUUGACUCAAAUUCACCUCCAGCUUUGCCAUUCGUCUUGAUGACCAUCGUAACCUUAUCAUACGCCCGCAUCAGCGACUGCAGCAUGGACCCUUCAACCCCUCUCUCUUGCAAGCGAAGCCACAUUAUCUCCCGCGGCACCUUGUCAAACGCCUUCUCAAAGUCAAUUUGCACGAUGAUUAACGGCCGCUGUCCCGGUUGGCUGUGCCUAGUAGUAAGGUACUGCUUGGCAAAGAGAUGGUGUGUAGUACCGAAACCUCUUCUGAAACCCGCUUGGCCUCGAUGCCUAAGUGAGAGCGUCUCCCCUGUGCGAACGAGCCUAUCCAGGAGGACCAGUGCAUAACAUUUCGCCAAAGCGCCCCCUACUGCUAUGCCCCGGUAGUUACUCGGCAUGCUGGGGUCCCCCUUCUUGUAAAUAGGGGUGAGGACGGUAGUUGUAAACUGCCGUGGGAAGUCCCCAGUCGCCCUGAUAUGCUCCAGAAGCACGUGCAGUACCGGAACAAGCUGAUUCACUUCCCCCCGUCGCCUGCCCCCACCAUUACCCGACGCGGAGUCUUCUUCCUCUCGGGGCAAACGCGCAUAGCGGUAACAUUCCGACGGCGCUACUUCCAAACCUGGUGCCUUACUGUUAGGCAGCCGGUCAACAGCACGUGCGACUUCCUCCAGCGUGAGAGGGGGUUCUAGGAUUUCUGCUGCUUUCGCAGUCCUGCCCAAAACCGAGUGGGAUGACCGCCAUUCCUGCCCCUCUAGGAACUGCCCAAAGUUAAUGAAGUUCAAAAGCCGGUUCGCACCAUCAGGCCCUGUCUCCCCUACACCUGCGUUUAAGAGCCCAGCAAAGUGUUCCCUGAAGACCUCAAUAUCAUCUAUCGCACAUCGCUCUCUCAACUUCCCUCCUAAAGCCCGCCACAAAGCUCGUUGGUCUUGCCGACAUUUGGCCACAAACUCUCUCAUCCUAUCCUCCUCAUAUGCCGCCCUUGCGUGUCUUUUUGCCCGGUUAUAAUCCGUCCGCGCAUGGCGGAAAGCCUCCCAUUCCGGACCCGAUUUAUUACUCACCCGGCCUGGACCCAGAUGUGCUCUGCUCUCCAACAUGCGUUGCCGUGUUUGUUGACAUUCCCGGUUCCACCAAACCGUAUUCCCACCUGCCGUCAUGCCGGUAGGUCGGUGGGUAUCGAAGGCCCUCACCAGGACUUUGUACAGGGCACCUCCAAUGCGUUCGACAGCUUGUGUGGUAUUGCAAACUCCCCUCUGCAGGUCCUCGGCCACUUGGCUUAAGGCAUUCAUAGUAGGGGACCCCCCCUCAAAAUAUUCCGCAUAAUCCUGGUAUCGUGCAAUAUCAAACUCCACCCGGGCUUUCCGGCCUUUACCGUCCCUACACCUGCUUUCGUCAUCCACUGUAACAUUAAGAACAAGCGUCAAAGGACGGUGGUCGGUGGGCUCCCAUCCAUCCAACUCGAUCAGGUUCCCUACCCUCAGAAAGGUGGCGUACUGCUGAAGCACACGCGGAGUCGCUAUGAAUAAAUCGAUCAUACUACCGCCUGCCUCCCCCUUAGGGAAAGUUAGGCGGCCUUCUGGGUCCCCUCUUAUCCGGCCGUUCAUCACGAGCAGUCCCUCGGAUCUGCAGAGCGCCCCAAGCUGGGCACCAAAGAAAUUGCAAACUUGGUCCUGGCACUUUCGAUUUCCGAGUCCAUCAUAAUUCUGGUGGUCCCUCAGUCCUUCAAAACCCAUGACCUCGCAUACGGCUUGUGACUGCUCUAAAUCCGGGAUGUCAUUCACGCAUGCAUGUAACCGGCGCCACGCAAUUUAAAAUAUUACGUUCUUUAGCCACGGGAUCAAGUCGCAUGCCAUAAUGUUCUGAAAUGUAAAACGCGUCUUACAGUUCUAGCGUAAAAAGUGUUUUCGGUUAUCAGCUACUACAAGCAUUAACUUCCAGUUUUUAGCAGUAAAUGAUUUAAUUGGUGUAUCGUUUUACCUAGACAGAACGGGCAGUCACUUUGCGUUUCUCGAACGCUGGCGCCGAGCCGCCCGCCGCCAAACAACGUGCUGGAUGCGUUACGUCAUCAGCUUCUUGGUGAACACCGGGGGCCUCCCAUAGCGGGUGGGUCGAGUAAGCGACCUUCGGCGGUCCUUCCGGGCCUUUUGCGAUUGCCAUACUAUAUAUGUUGGCCAAGUUCCGAAAGGUAUAAGUGAGCUAGGUGUGCCUGCAGCUAAUGCAUGUUCUCCUCGACUAGUUCUACCUUGCAAGCCACUCCCUUUGGAGCCUGCCUGCUGCUGCCAAACAGGCAUUCAGUCGGCUUGGAUUAGUUUACGCCGGUAAGCUCUUAGCAGGCUUCGAGGGCCGCUGCCAUGUCUAAAACAUCUAGUUCGUUCUGUUCUAACAUCUAGUUCUAGCUACUGUAUGUGCUGUUCAUGACCGGACAUACACGCAUGCCUCCUUCCUUGCUUCCUCGUUCGUGCCAGCAGGCAAAAUAAUUUGGGACUGAGAAACUGCUGAGAUCUCGCAUUGUUUAUUGCAAAGCAAGUUUUGCCACAUCAAAGAAAAGAGAAUGAGGUACGGCUUGGGCUAUGCAGCAGCUACAAAAGUUCGGUGGCAGGAUUAAUGGGCGAGGGCUUGCACGGGACGACGCCUGGAACUGGGUUGCUUAAAUGGGUAGGGUUGGGGGGUAGAAGCAAAACGGGUGCAUGUGGGAGGCAUCAAUGCAUGUCCAUACUCGCCGGUAGGACUUUUGGUCUAUAGAUCGUGCCCUGGCAUAUGAGAUAGGGACAUUAGUUCAUUCUAUUGUAUCAGGUUGGGAUCUACAGACAAUUAAAGGUUUACAGACUUGCAUACAUACAUACACACUAAGUUGAGGCGCUGUUGAUCUGCUAGAUUUGGUUGGAUGCUGGUGGUGAGUUGCUGAACCCAACGAAUACAUUCUGAAGUCGGAUGGGGUGAACGGAUUAGGGUGCAACUCUAGCAGGGAGAGCAGGGAACUGCCUCGGGAAAGGGGGCCGCUGGUGAAGCUUAACCACCCUGUAACGACAUACAUACACAGGCAGGCGGCUGGCAGAGGUUAAGGCCUGACUUCUGCUCCCAGUCGACCCAGUCGACCCGGGUUCAAAUCCGCCUGCCGGCUCCUCGGGUGUUUGAGGGGUGAUGAAAUGUGAGGUGGCCCCCCAUCAUAUGGACGGUGUAGGACGUGAUAAUAUCAACUUGCGAGCUGACCAGGAACUAAGUUGAUGCGCCGUUGAUCCGCUAGAUUUGGUUGGAUGCUGGUGGUGAGUUGCCGAACCAACGAAUACAUUCUGAAGUCGGAUGGGGUAACGGAUUAGGGUGCCCCUCUAGCAGGGGAGAGCAGGGACUGCCCCGGGAAAGGGGGCCGCUGGCGAAGUUAACCACCCUGUAACAACAUACAUACAUACACAGGCACCGUCGGUCUGCAUGUAUGUUGAGAGGCAUCUAUAUCACGACACCAGUUGC